CUGAGAAUACUAUAGCUGAUUAACUUACUGUUUAGUUCUCUUAAAAAUAUCUACCUUCUUAUCAUUAUAAUUCUGGAAUGAAAAUCAGGAGGACUGCCUAGUACUGCCAAUUCUGACAGUGAUCUGGCUGGAGUGCAGUGGUGCACACGCCUCACACUGUGACACAGCGGGAGAGCCCAGAGCGACAGCUGUUGGAAUGACUGCACUCUUCCUGCUCAAGUCUGACCUUUCCAAGGUAAUGGUGCUCAGAAAAAG
This 255-nucleotide long non-coding RNA is filed under the name Homo sapiens (human). RNAcentral describes it as "non-protein coding LINC01010:6". The record is from RNAcentral. Lineage: Eukaryota; Metazoa; Chordata; Mammalia; Primates; Hominidae.